Molecule: ribosomal RNA, 308 nt
Filed under: Staphylococcus aureus
Lineage: Bacteria; Bacillati; Bacillota; Bacilli; Caryophanales; Staphylococcaceae
Description: bacterial LSU rRNA
Rfam family: Bacterial large subunit ribosomal RNA
Source: RNAcentral
CGUCGUGAGACAGUUCGGUCCCUAUCCGUCGUGGGCGUAGGAAAUUUGAGAGGAGCUGUCCUUAGUACGAGAGGACCGGGAUGGACAUACCUCUGGUGUACCAGUUGUCGUGCCAACGGCAUAGCUGGGUAGCUAUGUGUGGACGGGAUAAGUGCUGAAAGCAUCUAAGCAUGAAGCCCCCCUCAAGAUGAGAUUUCCCAACUUCGGUUAUAAGAUCCCUCAAAGAUGAUGAGGUUAAUAGGUUCGAGGUGGAAGCAUGGUGACAUGUGGAGCUGACGAAUACUAAUCGAUCGAAGACUUAAUCAAAA